GUGCUUCAGCAGCACGUAUACUAAAAUUGGAACACUACAGAGAAGAUUAGCAUGGCCCCUGUGCAAGGAUGACACACAAAUUUGUGAAGCAUUCCUUGUUUUU
Molecule: small nuclear RNA, 103 nt
Organism: Homo sapiens (human)
Lineage: Eukaryota; Metazoa; Chordata; Mammalia; Primates; Hominidae
Source: Ensembl